GAGGAAGAGUCGUUCAGAGUGAAAGAGGAAGAGGAAACCGAGGAGACGGGAGGAGAGAGACGUGACUAUUGUGGAUCCUCUGGGGAGCCUCAACAACAUCAUGAUGCUGAAGAGGCAGAGAAGAGUCUCUCCACAUCAGAACUCUUCAAGAAACACCAGCAGAGACCCACAGGGAAGAAUCCUCACUGCUGCUCUCACUGUGGGAAGCGUUGCAAAUCUUUAUCAGAACUUAAAAUACACCAGAGAACACACACAGGAGAGAAACCUUAUAGCUGUGAUCAAUGUGGGAGGAGUUUCACUAUAUCAAGCCAUCUGACUUCACACCAGAGAACACACACAGGAGAGAAACCUUAUAGCUGUGAUCAAUGUGGGAAGUGUUUUACUAUAUCAAGCCAUCUGACUUCACACCAGAGAACACACACAGGAGAGAAACCUUAUAGCUGUGAUCAAUGUGGGAUGAGUUUUGCUGCAUCAAGCAAUCUGACUUCACACCAGAGAACACACACAGGAAAGAAACCUUAUAGCUGUGAUCAAUGUGGGAUGAGUUUUGCUGCAUCAAGCAAUCUGACAAGACACCAGAGAAUACACACAGGAGAGAAACCUUAUAGCUGUGAUCAAUGUGGGAAGUGUUUUACUAUAUUGAGCUCUCUGACUUCACACCAGAGAACACACACAGGAGAGAAACCUUAUAGCUGUGAUCAAUGUGGGAAGUGUUUUACUAUAUUGAGCUCUCUGACUUCACACCAGAGAAUACACACAGGAGAGAAACCUUAUAGCUGUGAUCAAUGUGGGAAGUGUUUUACUAUAUCAAGCUCUCUGACUUCACACCAGAGAACACACACAGGAGAGAAACCUUAUAGCUGUGAUCAAUGUGGGAAGUGUUUUACUAUAUCAAGCCAUCUGACUGCACACCAGAGAACACACACAGGAGAGAAACCUUAUAUCUGUGAUCAAUGUGACAAGAGAUACUCUGAUAAAAGAUCUCUGAUUAAACAUCAGAAAAUACAUGAAGGAGGUGUUUCAUGAUAUCAAUUGUAGUAGGAGUGUUUUAAUGAUGUCACAAUGUAGAAUGUUUUAACAUUGUAGUAGGAGUAUUUGAAUGAUGUUACAAUGUAGAAUGUCUUAACAUUGUAGCAGCACUUCAAGAUUCAAAAUGUAGCUAGCGGUUUUCUACAAGUUGAAAAAGCUGCUUGUUUAAAAAAAUACAUGUAAUUGAUCAUUGUUGCAGAUGUUUGUGUAUAAACACACAAGAAAGCAGUACAAUAAAUUGGUCUAUAAUCAAUUUUUA
Molecule: long non-coding RNA, 1288 nt
Organism: Oncorhynchus gorbuscha (pink salmon)
Lineage: Eukaryota; Metazoa; Chordata; Actinopteri; Salmoniformes; Salmonidae
Exons: 2
Source: RefSeq, a predicted model, not a curated record